UAGGGAAUCUUCGGCAAUGGACGAAAGUCUGACCGAGCAACGCCGCGUGAGUGAAGAAGGUUUUCGGAUCGUAAAACUCUGUUGUUAGAGAAGAACAAGGACGUUAGUAACUGAACGUCCCCUGACGGUAUCUAACCAGAAAGCCACGGCUAACUACGUGCCAGCAGCCGCGGUAAUACGUAGUUGGCAAGCGUUUUCCGGAUUUAUUGGGCGUAAAGCGAGCGCAGGCGGUUUCUUAAGUCUGAUGUGAAAGCCCCCGGCUCAACCGGGGAGGGUCAUUGGAAACUGGGAGACUUGAGUGCAGAAGAGGAGAGUGGAAUUCCAUGUGUAGCGGUGAAAUGCGUAGAUAUAUGGAGGAACACCAGUGGCGAAGGCGGCUCUCUGGUCUGUAACUGACGCUGAGGCUCGAAAGCGUGGGGAGCAAACAGG
This 429-nucleotide ribosomal RNA is filed under the name Gemmatimonadota bacterium. RNAcentral's name for it is "Gemmatimonadetes bacterium partial 16S ribosomal RNA". It matches the Rfam family "Bacterial small subunit ribosomal RNA", at positions 355 to 776 of the family's 1533-position model. Lineage: Bacteria; Pseudomonadati; Gemmatimonadota. The record is from RNAcentral.